This 497-nucleotide ribosomal RNA is filed under the name uncultured bacterium. Its description in RNAcentral is "partial 16S ribosomal RNA". It matches the Rfam family "Bacterial small subunit ribosomal RNA", at positions 28 to 507 of the family's 1533-position model. The record is from RNAcentral.
GAUGAACGCUGGCGGCGUGCCUAAUACAUGCAAGUCGAGCGAACAGACGAGGAGCUUGCUCCUCUGACGUUAGCGGCGGACGGGUGAGUAACACGUGGAUAACCUACCUAUAAGACUGGGAUAACUUCGGGAAACCGGAGCUAAUACCGGAUAAUAUAUUGAACCGCAUGGUUCAAUAGUGAAAGACGGUUUUGCUGUCACUUAUAGAUGGAUCCGCGCCGCAUUAGCUAGUUGGUAAGGUAACGGCUUACCAAGGCAACGAUGCGUAGCCGACCUGAGAGGGUGGUCGGCCACACUGGAACUGAGACACGGUCCAGACUCCUACGGGAGGCAGCAGUAGGGAAUCUUCCGCAAUGGGCGAAAGCCUGACGGAGCAACGCCGCGUGGGUGAUGAAGGUCUUCGGAUCGUAAAACUCUGUUAUUAGGGAAGAACAAAUGUGUAAGUAACUAUGCACGUCUUGACGGUACCUAAUCAGAAAGCCACGGCUAACUACGUG